This 83-nucleotide transfer RNA is filed under the name Thaumatella adunca. RNAcentral's name for it is "tRNA-Leu". It matches the Rfam family "tRNA". Rfam says of the family: Transfer RNA (tRNA) molecules are approximately 80 nucleotides in length. Their secondary structure includes four short double-helical elements and three loops (D, anti-codon, and T loops). Lineage: Eukaryota; Rhodophyta; Florideophyceae; Ceramiales; Rhodomelaceae. The record is from RNAcentral.
GAGUAGGUGGCGAAAUUUGGUAUACGCAUCAUAUUCAAAAUAUGAUAACAUAGUUAUGAGGGUUCGAGUCCCUCCCUACUUAC